CACAGGGCCACCAACCUCCACAUUUCAGACCAGCCCAGGCUGCCCAGGGCCCCAUCCAACCUGGCCUUCAACACCUCCACGGAUGGACGGGGCAUCCACAGCCUCUCUGGGCAGCUGUUCCAGCACCUCACCACUCUCUCUGUCAACAACUUCCCCCUCACAUCCAACCUCAAUCUGCCCUCCUUCAACUUCAAACCAUUUCCACUUGUCCUGCUCUUAUCUCCCCUCUCAAAGAGUU
Molecule: long non-coding RNA, 238 nt
Filed under: Gallus gallus (chicken)
Lineage: Eukaryota; Metazoa; Chordata; Aves; Galliformes; Phasianidae
Source: RNAcentral